Molecule: ribosomal RNA, 108 nt
Filed under: Nannospalax galili (Upper Galilee mountains blind mole rat)
Lineage: Eukaryota; Metazoa; Chordata; Mammalia; Rodentia; Spalacidae
Source: RNAcentral
GUCCAUGGUCAUUUUACCCUGAAUGUGUCUGAUAUGGGAAGCUAAGCAGGGUCAGGUCUGCUUAGUACUUCGAUGGGAAACCAUAUAUGCAAUCCACUCCUGUGCCUC